This is a non-coding RNA of Acanthosepion pharaonis, 99 nucleotides long. The record is from the annotation of a GenBank genome assembly. NCBI's taxonomy places the organism in Eukaryota, Metazoa, Mollusca, Cephalopoda, Sepiida, Sepiidae.
CGUUGAAAAACCGGUUCCCGUACAAACACUGAAAUUAAGCAACGUCGAGCAUGGUCAGUACCUAGAUGGGUGACCGGUUGGAAAUACCAUGCGUUGUAA